AGAAAGUCUAUUACUUACAGAGAACUAGAAAAAGAGACAAAGAGCACUGGUUCUUUUCUUUGGGCAUUUGCUUAAAGAACAUCACAUGCCCACCUAAACAGGGUCCGCCUCUCUGUAUUCUAUCAUUAGGAGCAGCAGGACAUCUGGGGUUGAGAAGAUGGAGAGAGCAUCUUUAUAUAACGUUGCAAUCUGGAAGUAUCACUCUCAAAAAGGUUUUGAUAGACUAGAAAAAUGACAAGACUCCAAGUCCUUGAAGAGGAGGAAAAGUGUGAAGAAAACAAAAAAAGGAGAUUGAUGUCUGCUUCACCAUUUUGCCCAAGAUUUGACCUGUCAUGCACUGAAGGAAGCUCUUGUUUGACCUUCUGAAAAAAUUUUGAAGUAUCUACGAGAAUAGCUAUUCUAUGAAGCAGAGAUUAUAGUAGAUAUGGAGUUUAAGUUGCAGAAAAAGAAGACUGAAUCAUUAAAUGGGACAUCAGAAAGUAAAAGCCUUUCCUUUUAUCUAGUUUGGAGGACUUAAAAAAAUCAAUAGGCAGAAAUUUACAUAAUCCUUAUUGGAUUCCAUGAGCUACAAAUGUACUAUUAGUACAGAUGGAUAUGAAAGAAAGAUUAGUUAUGUUGUUAUGUUUAUGGAUAGGUAAGAAGAGACACUCUUGCAAAAUGGUAGAUUGAAAAACCCACUGAAUCUUCCUGGAAGUGUGUUGAAAUCGGUUAAAGGGUUAAUGACACAAAUACGAGGAUAAUUUUGUAAGGGCAUGAUAAGGGGGGCAAACAGCCUAAUGGUGAGAAAAAGAAAUAGCGCAUCAUGCAAGGUUAUCGACACUGUUCUCAGUAACCUCUUGCAUCCCUGCUGAACCAGAAACUAGUAGGGUUAUGUCAAUAAUUUCCCAUUGUGAAGGGAAGAAGUGACCAUUGAUUUGUGCCUUGUCACUCAGGUUAACUGCUUAAGAACUUUGUUCACCCAGGAGUGCAUAAAUGAAUGCCAUGUGCUACCAAAAUAAAAAAAGUAAUAAAGGAUUAAAUAAGGCCGUG
Molecule: long non-coding RNA, 1029 nt
Filed under: Piliocolobus tephrosceles (Ugandan red Colobus)
Lineage: Eukaryota; Metazoa; Chordata; Mammalia; Primates; Cercopithecidae
Description: lncRNA (ENSPTEG00000033338.1)
Source: RNAcentral